AUUGAACGCUGGCGGCAUGCCUAACACAUGCAAGUCGAACGAGACCUUCGGGUCUAGUGGCGCACGGGUGCGUAACGCGUGGGAAUCUGCCCCUUGGUUCGGAAUAACAGCGAGAAAUUGCUGCUAAUACCGGAUAAUGACGUAAGUCCAAAGAUUUAUCGCCAAGGGAUGAGCCCGCGUAGGAUUAGCUAGUUGGUGUGGUAAAGGCGCACCAAGGCGACGAUCCUUAGCUGGUCUGAGAGGAUGAUCAGCCACACUGGGACUGAGACACGGCCCAAACUCCUACGGGAGGCAGCAGUGGGGAAUAUUGGACAAUGGGCGCAAGCCUGAUCCAGCCAUGCCGCGUGAGUGAUGAAGGUCUUAGGAUUGUAAA
Molecule: ribosomal RNA, 373 nt
Filed under: uncultured bacterium
Lineage: Bacteria
Description: bacterial SSU rRNA
Rfam family: Bacterial small subunit ribosomal RNA
Source: RNAcentral